GACGAACGCUGGCGGCGUGCUUAACACAUGCAAGUCGAACGGAAAGGCCCUGCUUUUGUGGGGUGCUCGAGUGGCGAACGGGUGAGUAACACGUGAGUAACCUGCCCUUGACUUUGGGAUAACUUCAGGAAACUGGGGCUAAUACCGGAUAGGAGCUCCUGCUGCAUGGUGGGGGUUGGAAAGUUUCGGCGGUUGGGGAUGGACUCGCGGCUUAUCAGCUUGUUGGUGGGGUAGUGGCUUACCAAGGCUUUGACGGGUAGCCGGCCUGAGAGGGUGACCGGACAAGCGGGGGUGGAGAUGCCGCGCGGACGGGGGAGGGCGGGAGGGGUGGGGAGGAGGGCGGGGGGGGCGGCGGCCGGAGGCAGCAACGGGGGGGGGGGGAGGAGGGGCGGGGGGCUGAACCCCGCGGGGGGCGGGGACGGUGGGGGGGGGAGGAUGGGGGGGAAAGGAGCACCGGGGAAGGAGGUGACAGCAGCCGCGGUAAGACUAGGAAGAGACUCCGUUUGAAC
Molecule: ribosomal RNA, 509 nt
Filed under: uncultured bacterium
Lineage: Bacteria
Description: partial 16S ribosomal RNA
Rfam family: Bacterial small subunit ribosomal RNA (bases 20-332)
Source: RNAcentral